This 89-nucleotide microRNA precursor is filed under the name Pelobates cultripes (western spadefoot toad). Lineage: Eukaryota; Metazoa; Chordata; Amphibia; Anura; Pelobatidae. The record is from RNAcentral.
UGUAUAUAUAUGGUUGGGCAGUGUAUGCAGUGUGUAUGUGUGUGUGUAUAUAAACACACUGCAUACACUGCCCAACCAUAUAUAUACAC